This 341-nucleotide long non-coding RNA is filed under the name Elaeis guineensis (African oil palm). Its description in RNAcentral is "long non-coding RNA (EGUI_LNC039435)". The record is from RNAcentral. Lineage: Eukaryota; Viridiplantae; Streptophyta; Magnoliopsida; Arecales; Arecaceae.
AACAAUUUUCAUCCUCUAUUUUUCACCAAUCUGUUUGCCUUGACAACAUUCUCUUAUCCUUUGAACUUGUAGCUAUUUGGUCUUCCCUGGCUUUUUUGGAGCUGUACUGGAGGAAUGGUUCCGUAAGCUAAAAUACCCUUCCCUUAAGACGAGAAGAGAGAACGCAUUAGGAUUCCAAUACAGACGCAAGCCUGUGUCCUUAAUUGGAAAGAUAUUGACCUACCCAUCAUUACACUGAGAAAGUUGAGAGAAUAAGAACAUCCCCACAGCAAUGAAAGAGGAGAAGAGAAGCACUGGUUGGAGUCUCCUUCCUUGUCACAAAGAAGCACAUGAUUCAUAAU